Molecule: ribosomal RNA, 432 nt
Filed under: Thalassiosira gravida
Lineage: Eukaryota; Bacillariophyta; Thalassiosirophyceae; Thalassiosirales; Thalassiosiraceae
Description: partial Bacterial small subunit ribosomal RNA
Rfam family: Bacterial small subunit ribosomal RNA
Source: RNAcentral
UAAGAGAGUUUGAUCCUGGCUCAGGAUGAACGCUGGCGGUAUGCCUAACACAUGCAAGUCGUACGAGAGUUUUUAUUAACUCUAGUGGCGGACGGGUGAGUAACACGUGAGAAUUUGCCUUUAGGAGGGGGAUAACAAUCGGAAACGAAUGCUAAUACCCCAUAUGCUUUUGAGUGAAAUGGAUUUAUAUUUAUCCGCCUAAAGAGAAGCUCGCGGCUGAUUAGCUUGUUGGUAAGGUAAGAGCUUACCAAGGCGACGAUCAGUAUCUGGUUUGAGAGGACGAUCAGACACACUGGAACUGAGACACGGUCCAGACUCCUACGGGAGGCAGCAGUGGGGAAUAUUGGACAAUGGGGGGAACCCUGAUCCAGCCAUGCCGCGUGUGUGAAGAAGGCCUUUUGGUUGUAAAGCACUUUAAGCAGUGAAGAAGAC